This 497-nucleotide ribosomal RNA is filed under the name uncultured bacterium. RNAcentral describes it as "partial 16S ribosomal RNA". It matches the Rfam family "Bacterial small subunit ribosomal RNA", at positions 28 to 507 of the family's 1533-position model. The record is from RNAcentral.
GAUGAACGCUGGCGGCGUGCCUAAUACAUGCAAGUCGAGCGAACAGACGAGGAGCUUGCUCCUCUGACGUUAGCGGCGGACGGGUGAGUAACACGUGGAUAACCUACCUAUAAGACUGGGAUAACUUCGGGAAACCGGAGCUAAUACCGGAUAAUAUAUUGAACCGCAUGGUUCAAUAGUGAAAGACGGUUUUGCUGUCACUUAUAGAUGGAUCCGCGCCGCAUUAGCUAGUUGGUAAGGUAACGGCUUACCAAGGCGACGAUGCGUAGCCGACCUGAGAGGGUGCUCGGCCACACUGGAACUGAGACACGGUCCCAACUCCUACGGGAGGCCGCAGUAGGGAAUCUUCCGCAAUGAGCGAAAGCCUGACGGAGCAACGCCGCGUGAGUGAUGAAGGUCUUCGGCUCGUAAAACUCUGUUAUUAGGGAAGAACAAAUGUGUAAGUAACUAUGCACGUCGUGACGGUACCUAAUCAGAAAGCCACGGCUAACUACGUG